RNAcentral lists this ribosomal RNA (201 nucleotides) under uncultured bacterium. RNAcentral's name for it is "partial 16S ribosomal RNA". It matches the Rfam family "Bacterial small subunit ribosomal RNA", at positions 524 to 724 of the family's 1533-position model. The record is from RNAcentral.
GACGUAGGGGGCCAGCGUUGUUCGGAAUUACUGGGCGUAAAGGGCGCGUAGGUGGCCUUCUAAGUUGAACGUGAAAUCCCUGGGCUCAACCCAGGAACUGCGUCCAAGACUGGGAGGCUUGAAUCCGGGAGAGGGAUGCGGAAUUCCAGGUGUAGCGGUGAAAUGCGUAGAUAUCUGGAGGAACACCGGUGGCGAAGGCGG